This is a long non-coding RNA of Amphibalanus amphitrite, 1338 nucleotides long. RefSeq lists it as uncharacterized. The transcript has 3 exons. Lineage: Eukaryota; Metazoa; Arthropoda; Thecostraca; Balanomorpha; Balanidae. The record is from RefSeq and is a predicted model, not a curated record.
UACCAAAGUUUAGAUGUUAAGGAAUCACAAAUUGGAAAUAAAAUAUUAUAGAAUUUCGUCGGCCGUAGGGAAAGCAUGCUUCUAUUGUUUUGGAGCUGCGUCUCGUGCGUCUCGUGUGCGUCAUUUCCGCCGCACCGCCAAAACAUGAGAAGUGGGGAGGGGGUCACGAAGCUAUCAAUUAUAAUUAAAUUAACUCGUUAUCAGGACAAUCUCCUAUCACUUAUGAAGAAACCAGGGUUAUUUUGAAAAUAUAUCACUCAGAAAAAGCAGCAAGCCUAUAAUUCUGGCCAGUUAUCAAUGGAUUAGAGAAAUGAGCUUAUCAAACAGCACGAAUCCACGAUGCUGGCGGUCUAGGCCAGUAGCCAGCUUCAGCUUCUGGCGAUGGAAGGGGCCUUCGGCUGAUGCAAGACAGCCCUGGCCCCUGCCAGCCUGCCCCGCCACUGGUGACGAGCGCUAGCGCGUCAGCGACCGCCCGAGCGACUCUGAUCAUCAAGCUGUGCAAGUAAUGCUCUACCUGCUGAUCUACCACCGAGGGCUCCGCGCCGGCCGCAUCCGAAGGAGGAUGCGCCAUGUACUGCGCAGCCGAGGAGACCUACUGGCCACUCGUGAGGCCUACAAUCUGCAUGACCAUCGAGUACGUCCGAGGCGCUCUUUCUCCCAAGCCACCUGGGUAUGGACGGACGGGCCGGCUGACGCAAGAGUCCGCAGCGGAGGGGCCGGGGCCUUGGCCAGCUCUGCACCAGCUAGAGCGCGGAGAUGGCUGCGCUCCGCUCAGCCAUCAGCGCGACCACCUGUGGCACCUGAGCGCCCCGGUCGUCUUUUGCACAGGCUCCCAGGCGGCGCUCGCGACACUGAGGGAGGGCCCAGCCACACAGAAAACCUCGAUGGGCGCCGCCGUGUGGACGGGGCUGGCAGUCCUGUUCCGCCAAUUCCACCUGCAAUUGAUGCCGUCCCAUUCCGGCAUAGAUGGUAACAAGCGCGCCGACCAGGCCGCUAAGGAGCCUCGAGCGCGAGCCUCGAGCGCGGAGGCGGCCCCGCUCCCCCAGGCGACAGUCCCGGGGGAUGUUGGCACUGCCCACCGCGCGGCCAUCAGAUUGGCCCGCCACUGUGCCACCGCCGCCUGGCCGGACAGUUGGUGCCAGUUUCUGAUGGGGGGGGGGGGCUGCCUGCCGCCGCUAGCGGUUGCGGAGUACCGAGCAUCGGCUGCCGAUCUCUACCGGCUUCGUACGGGCCAGUGGUUGGGCUUCCGCCAGUAUCUUCACUGUAUAGAACAGAACCCUACUGACGAACGCCGCCAGCGCUCCGACAUCGACUCCCCCCCCUCGGCCCUCCCCCAUC